CAGUAGCCGCGGUAAAACGGAGGGAGCUAGCGUUAUUCGGAAUUACUGGGCGUAAAGCGUACGUAGGCGGCUUUGUAAGUUAGAGGUGAAAGCCUGGAGCUCAACUCCAGAACUGCCUUUAAAACUACAUCGCUUGAAUCCAGGAGAGGUGAGUGGAAUUCCGAGUGUAGAGGUGAAAUUCGUAGAUAUUCGGAAGAACACCAGUGGCGAAGGCGGCUCACUGGACUGGUAUUGACGCUGAGGUACGAAAGCGUGGGGAGCAAACAGGAUUAGAUACCCGGGUAGUCCCUGUCUCUUAUAC
RNAcentral lists this ribosomal RNA (301 nucleotides) under uncultured bacterium. RNAcentral describes it as "partial 16S ribosomal RNA". It matches the Rfam family "Bacterial small subunit ribosomal RNA", at positions 509 to 807 of the family's 1533-position model. The record is from RNAcentral.